This 440-nucleotide ribosomal RNA is filed under the name uncultured bacterium. Its description in RNAcentral is "partial 16S ribosomal RNA". It matches the Rfam family "Bacterial small subunit ribosomal RNA", at positions 338 to 795 of the family's 1533-position model. The record is from RNAcentral.
CCUACGGGAGGCUGCAGUGGGGAAUAUUGCACAAUGGGGGAAACCCUGAUGCAGCGACGCCGCGUGAGGGAAGAAGGAAUUAGUUAUGUAAAGCUCUAUCAGCAGGGAAGAAAAGGACGGUACGUGAGUAAGAAGCAGCGGAUAACUACGUGCAAGAAGCCGCGUUAAUACGUAGGGGGCAAGCGUUAUACGGAUUUACUGGGUGUAAAGGGAGCGUAGACGGUUAAGUCGGUCUGGAGUGAAAGGCCGGGUCCCAACCCCGGGACUGCUCUGGAAACUAUUGAACUUGAGUGCAGGAGAGGUAAGCGGAAUUCCUAGUGUAGCGGUGAAAUGCGUAGAUAUUAGGCGGAACACCAGUGGCGAAGGCGGCUUACUGGACUGUAACUGACGUUGAGGCUCGAAAGCGUGGGGAGCAAACAGGAUUAGAUACCCGAGUAGUC